Gasterosteus aculeatus aculeatus (three-spined stickleback) is the source of this 1035-nucleotide non-coding RNA. NCBI's taxonomy places the organism in Eukaryota, Metazoa, Chordata, Actinopteri, Perciformes, Gasterosteidae. The record is from the annotation of a RefSeq genome assembly.
GGUGAGAUUCAGGGAGGAGCUCAGACGUCACUGAACUAUAGAAGAGAUGAACUUCUACAUUCAACAGAGUUCAAUAUACGAAGCAUCAACAUCACCUUCCUUCAACAUGCUGUCACCACUGAUGUUUCUAGUUAUUCUACAAGGAUUCAGCUGUGAAGAACUCACACCAGUGAAGACAGAAGAAAACAGUGUAGAAAACACGACUGUUACUAUGUCCUACAUUUACUCCAAAAAAGCAUUUAGUAGUGAAUAUUUCUUCUGGUAUAAACAAGAUCCAGGAAAACCACCAGAGUUCCUCAUCUCCCAUCUCGGAACAGGAGGAAUAUUGAAUGGUCUAAUGACUGAACUGAUGAUCAAAGUGGAUGGAAACCGAAUCAGUCUGAAGAUCUCGUCUGCUACAGUGUCAGACUCUGCUGUGUACUACUGUGCUGUGAGGCCCACAGUGACAGGAAACACCAAGACUCUGUACAAGAACCUCAACUCUGUACUCUGUACACCAUCCACCAGAGGGAGUCUCCAUCUGAAUAUCUUCAGCAGGAUGUGACGAUACCGUGUGGAUUAUUCAUAGUGGUGAUGAAACAGAUGAAAGGGACAAAUAUAGCCUGAUUGAAGGAAGUGAUGAUAAUGAGGUGUUGUGUAAUAUUUCUUAUAUAAAAAACACCUCAUCAUGGAGUGGAAAUUAAAAUCCUCUGACAUCUAAUAGAUCAGAAAUGAAACCAACAAUUUAAACAAUAUAUAUCUAUGAGGAAUCCAUUUAUUAUCUAAAACAUAUUGUGAUCAUAUGAAGUGUUAUAAGUGUUGUAUCAAUAUAGUCAUUAUUAUGUUUAACUUCACAACUAAAAUCACCCAGUUUGAUUUAUGAAAUAGGUUUUAUCACACACUCAAGUCUUCAUUUUUUUUCAUAUGAUGGUUUUUCGUUGUUUUGUCAGGUUGGGAUUUCUUGUGGUGUUCCACAGGGUUCAUUCAUAGGUCCUCUGCUUUAAAUUGUCAUACUUUGGAUGAAAUGAUGUUUGAAUAAAACAUCUGUUUCCUCUG